UUGCCUAAUACAUGCAAGUCGAGCGAACAGAUAAGGAGCUUGCUCCUUUGACGUUAGCGGCGGACGGGUGAGUAACACGUGGAUAACCUACCUAUAAGACUGGGAUAACUUCGGGAAACCGGAGCUAAUACCGGAUAACAUAUUGAACCGCAUGGUUCAAUAGUGAAAGGCGGCUUUGCUGUCACUUAUAGAUGGAUCCGCGCCGUAUUAGCUAGUUGGUAAGGUAACGGCUUACCAAGGCAACGAUACGUAGCCGACCUGAGAGGGUGAUCGGCCACACUGGAACUGAGACACGGUCCAGACUCCUACGGGAGGCAGCAGUAGGGAAUCUUCCGCAAUGGGCGAAAGCCUGACGGAGCAACGCCGCGUGAGUGAUGAAGGUCUUCGGAUCGUAAAACUCUGUUAUCAGGGAAGAACAAAUGUGUAAGUAACUGUGCACAUCUUGACGGUACCUGAUCAGAAAGCCACGGCUAACUACGUGCCAGCAGCCGCGGUAAUACGUAGGUGGCAAGCGUUAUCCGGAAUUAUUGGGCGUAAAGCGCGCGUAGGCGGUUUUUUAAGUCUGAUGUGAAAGCCCACGGCUCAACCGUGGAGGGUCAUUGGAAACUGGAAAACUUGAGUGCAGAAGAGGAAAGUGGAAUUCCAUGUGUAGCGGUGAAAUGCGCAGAGAUAUGGAGGAACACCAGUGGCGAAGGCGACUUUCUGGUCUGUAACUGACGCUGAUGUGCGAAAGCGUGGGGAUCAAACAGGAUUAGAUACCCUGGUAGUCCACGCCGUAAACGAUGAGUGCUAAGUGUUAGGGGGUUUCCGCCCCUUAGUGCUGCAGCUCACGCAUUAAGCACUCCGCCUGGGGAGUACGACCGCAAGGUUGAUACUCAAAGGAAUUGACGGGGACCCGCACAAGCGGUGGAGCAUGUGGUUUAAUUCGAAGCAA
This 934-nucleotide ribosomal RNA is filed under the name Staphylococcus sp. Its description in RNAcentral is "bacterial SSU rRNA". It matches the Rfam family "Bacterial small subunit ribosomal RNA", at positions 44 to 959 of the family's 1533-position model. Lineage: Bacteria; Bacillati; Bacillota; Bacilli; Caryophanales; Staphylococcaceae. The record is from RNAcentral.